Dermacentor silvarum is the source of this 881-nucleotide long non-coding RNA. RefSeq lists it as uncharacterized. Lineage: Eukaryota; Metazoa; Arthropoda; Arachnida; Ixodida; Ixodidae. The transcript has 3 exons. The record is from RefSeq and is a predicted model, not a curated record.
AUCACGACCGAGAGUCACGCCCGGGCCUCGGCGUGACGCUAUAUAUAUGAGCACCUAACCUCCGUGGCCGAUCAACUGGACCCACUAUAAGGAAGUGGCGUCCCGGACCGACUGCAUUACAUCUACUAUACAACGCUGGCGGCCCAGUUAUUUGGCGGCCCAGUAUGACUUCAGCGAGUUUCCAUUGCAAUGUGGUAACCCCAUCCGGACCUGGAGCAGCAGCGGGCAAACUUACAACCACGGAGGCCAAUUCCAGUAAUGACACCUCCUCGAAAUUGUCCACACAGCUAAGCAAUACCGAGCAUAAACUAUGAGCCUUUUGAUUCCAAUUCAUAUGUCUCAUUGAAUUAAACGCGGUUUUCAAACAAGUCUUAAAACGAGUAUAAUUAAUAAAACUUCUCUUAUGAAGCCCCGGAGAGGUUAGCGGACCUACUACUUCAAAAACAACAGGCAGGUGGUCACUGUUUGUGGCGCAGUCAAUCGUUGACCAUGAUGAUACAACAAUAUUUGUUCCAGAGAACGUGAGGUCUAAAACAAAUAAGCGAGACUGUCCUCGGAGAAACGUAACUGCUCCAGUGUUCGCGCAGGAGAGCCCAUUAUCUACUGUCCAUUCCCACAGUCAUUUACCACACUGGUCCGUUUUGUAUCCCCAUGAUACAUGGUGUGAAUUGAAAUCACCAGCUAAGAUUAUAUCUUUUCAGCAGUUUGCUAUAACUGAAUCUAAGGAACGUAAAUCCCGGACCCCCACAGGAAAGUUAGAAUUUACGACUGUGAAAUGUCUACAUUCAGGCAAAUUUAUUUCUACCUCAAGUACUUCGCUGUCUGGGGCCAUUAACGUGAAUGCUAACUUUGUUAUGUGGCAAAAUUUAGUUGAAACAAAU